UACGUAGGGUGCAAGCGUUGUCCGGAAUUAUUGGGCGUAAAGAGCUCGUAGGCGGUCUGUCACGUCGGCUGUGAAAACCCGGGGCUCAACCCCGGGCCUGCAUUCGAUACGGGCUGGCUAGAGUGUGGUAGGGGAGAUCGGAAUUCCUGGUGUAGCGGUGAAAUGCGCAGAUAUCAGGAGGAACACCGGUGGCGAAGGCGGAUCUCUGGGCCAUUACUGACGCUGAGGAGCGAAAGCGUGGGGAGCGAACAGG
This 253-nucleotide ribosomal RNA is filed under the name uncultured bacterium. RNAcentral's name for it is "partial 16S ribosomal RNA". It matches the Rfam family "Bacterial small subunit ribosomal RNA", at positions 524 to 776 of the family's 1533-position model. The record is from RNAcentral.